RNAcentral lists this ribosomal RNA (1370 nucleotides) under metagenome. RNAcentral's name for it is "bacterial LSU rRNA". It matches the Rfam family "Bacterial large subunit ribosomal RNA", at positions 1537 to 2925 of the family's 2925-position model. The record is from RNAcentral.
AAAAAUCCGGGUGGCAAUGGGAAUCCGUGAUGCGGAGCGAAAUAAAGUAGCGAAGUCCGUGAGCCAUGCGUCAAGAAAAGCCGCUAUUGUUUAUACCGUACCCGUACCGUAAACCGACACAGGUGGAUGAGGAGAGAAUCCUAAGGCCGGCGGAAGAAGCAUUGUCAAGGAACUCGGCAAAAUGGCCCCGUAACUUAGGGAUAAGGGGUGCCUCAGAAAUGAGGCCGCAGAGAAUAGGCUCAAGCAACUGUUUAGCAAAAACACAGGUCUAUGCGAAACCGAAAGGUGAGGUAUAUGGGCUGACGCCUGCCCGGUGCUGGAAGGUUAAGAGGAGAGGUUAGCGGUAACGCGAAGCUUUGAAUUUAAGCCCCAGUAAACGGCGGCCGUAACUAUAACGGUCCUAAGGUAGCGAAAUUCCUUGUCGGGUAAGUUCCGACCCGCACGAAAGGCGUAAUGAUUUGAGCGCUGUCUCGACAAUGCAUCCGGUGAAAUUGAAGUACCAGUGAAGAUGCUGGUUACCUGCGCCAGGACGGAAAGACCCCAUGGAGCUUUACUCCAGUCUGGUACUGGGACUCGGUAUUGCAUGUACAGGAUAGGUGGGAGGCUAGGAGAUGGUAACGCCAGUUGCCAUGGAGCCGCUGUUGGGAUACCACCCUUGCAGUAUUGGGUUUCUAACCAGCCGCCGUGACCCGGCGGUGGGACAAUGCCAGACGGGGAGUUUGACUGGGGCGGUCGCCUCCGAAAGGGUAUCGGAGGCGCCCAAAGGUUCCCUCAGAAUGGACGGAAACCAUUCGAAGAGUGCAAAGGCAGAAGGGAGCUUGACUGCGACACCGACGGGUGGAGCAGGUACGAAAGUAGGGCUUAGUGAUCCGGUGGUAUUAAGUGGGAAUGCCAUCGCUCAACGGAUAAAAGCUACCCUGGGAUAACAGGCUUAUCACUCCCAAGAGUUCACAUCGACGGAGUGGUUUGGCACCUCGAUGUCGGCUCAUCGCAUCCUGGGGCUGUAGUAGGUCCCAAGGGUUGGGCUGUUCGCCCAUUAAAGCGGUACGCGAGCUGGGUUCAGAACGUCGUGAGACAGUUCGGUCCCUAUCCGGCGUGGGCGUAGGAUAUCUGAGAGGAGCUGUCCUUAGUACGAGAGGACCGGGAUGGACGGGCCGCUGGUGCAUCGGUUAGACUGCCAAGUCUACGGCCGAGUAGCCAAGCCCGGAAGGGAUAAACGCUGAAGGCAUCUAAGCGUGAAGCCCCCCUUAAGAUGAGAUAUCCCAUUCGAAAGAAGUAAACCCCCUUGAAGACGACGAGGUAGAUAGGGCAGAGGUGGAAGUGCAGCAAUGCAUGGAGCUGACUGUUACUAAUCGGGUGAGGGCUUGACC